UCCGAUAUGGUCUAGUGGCUAGGAUUUGCCGCUCUCAUCGAGAGUCAAAACACUCAUUCAGUGCCGGCAAGGCCCGGGUUCGAUUCCCGGUGUCGGAA
Molecule: transfer RNA, 98 nt
Filed under: Periconia digitata
Lineage: Eukaryota; Fungi; Ascomycota; Dothideomycetes; Pleosporales; Periconiaceae
Rfam family: tRNA
About the family: Transfer RNA (tRNA) molecules are approximately 80 nucleotides in length.
Source: Rfam by way of RNAcentral